Non-coding RNA from Phascolarctos cinereus (koala), 415 nucleotides. The record is from RefSeq and is a predicted model, not a curated record. NCBI's taxonomy places the organism in Eukaryota, Metazoa, Chordata, Mammalia, Diprotodontia, Phascolarctidae.
GAGCUACUGAAAGGUAAAAGGAAAAAAAAAGUAUGAUAUGAUAUCACAGAAGCCAAGAGAAGUUAGAAUUUCAAGAAGAAAGGUCUGGUCAACUCAACAAACAUUCGCUACUCUAUGCACGUCACUAUGUUAAUAAUAUCAAACUGUGCAGUGGAUAAGGUUUGGCAGGCCGGAUGUCUAACAGUCAGCAGCCUCCAUUGGAACAGCCAUUAAGAACCCAGGAUAAUCUCCUCACUACAAGAUGGAAUCAGAGGGAGUUUACAUAAUGCAUCAAAACAAUUCUUGGCUCCAUAGUCUGAGAAGCUUUUAAAGAUCACUUUCCCACAACAGUUUCUGAGAGUUUCAAUGCAAGGAUUACCAAAUUUGAGUCACAGGACCUGCGUUCAAGUUCAAACUCUACUACUGUGUGACCUUG